AGCGAACGCUGGCGGCAGGCCUAACACAUGCAAGUCGAACGAACCUUUCGGGGUUAGUGGCGGACGGGUGAGUAACACGUGGGAACGUGCCUUUAGGUUCGGAAUAACUCAGGGAAACUUGUGCUAAUACCGAAUGUGCCCUUCGGGGGAAAGAUUAAUCGCCUUUAGAGCGGCCCGCGUCUGAUUAGCUAGUUGGUUGAGGUAAUGGCUCACCAAGGCGACGAUCAGUAGCUGGUCUGAGAGGAUGAUCAGCCACAUUGGGACUGAGACACGGCCCAAACUCCUACGGGAGGCAGCAGUGGGGAAUCUUGCGCAAUGGGCGAAAGCCUGACGCAGCCAUGCCGCGUAAAUGAUGAAGGUCUUAGGAUUGUAAAAUUCUUUCACCGGGGACGAUAAUGACGGUACCCGGAGAAGAAGCCCCGGCUAACUUCGUG
This 434-nucleotide ribosomal RNA is filed under the name uncultured bacterium. RNAcentral's name for it is "partial 16S ribosomal RNA". It matches the Rfam family "Bacterial small subunit ribosomal RNA", at positions 29 to 507 of the family's 1533-position model. The record is from RNAcentral.